UUUCCGUAGGUGAACCUGCGGAAGGAUCAUUAUUGUAUAACCGAGCUGCGAGGCCUUGCGCUGACACGAAAGGUCGUGCACGCCCGAGUGCCUUCACACACAUCCCUCUCACACCUAUGUGCAACACCACGAGGGACCCUCUUUGGCUUGUUCGGAGGGGGGCUCAUGAUUCCACACAACCUUUGUAUGCAGCGUAGAUUGUAUUUUUAGUUUUUGCGAAGACGACAUCUAUACACCUUUCAAAAACGGAUCUAUUGGCUCUCACAUCGAUGACGAACC
This 279-nucleotide unclassified non-coding RNA is filed under the name plant metagenome. Its description in RNAcentral is "partial contains small subunit ribosomal RNA, internal transcribed spacer 1, and 5.8S ribosomal RNA". The record is from RNAcentral.